RNAcentral lists this ribosomal RNA (446 nucleotides) under uncultured bacterium. RNAcentral describes it as "partial 16S ribosomal RNA". It matches the Rfam family "Bacterial small subunit ribosomal RNA", at positions 338 to 795 of the family's 1533-position model. The record is from RNAcentral.
CCUACGGGUGACAGCAGUCGAGAAUCAUUCACAAUGGGGGAAACCCUGAUGGUGCGACGCCGCGUGGGGGAAUGAAGGUCUUCGGAUUGUAAACCCCUGUCAUGUGGGAGCAAAUUAAAAAGAUAGUACCACAAGAGGAAGAGACGGCUAACUCUGUGCCAGCAGCCGCGGUAAUACAGAGGUCUCAAGCGUUGUUAGGAAUCACUGGGCGUAAAGCGUGCGUAGGCUGUUUCGUAAGUCGUGUGUGAAAGGCGCGGGCUCAACCCGCGGACGGCACAUGAUACUGCGAGACUAGAGUAGUGGAGGGGGAACCGGAAUUCUCGGUGUAGCAGUGAAAUGCGUAGAUAUCGAGAGGAACACUCGUGGCGAAGGCGGGUUCCUGGACAUUAACUGACGCUGAGGCACGAAGGCCAGGGGAGCGAAAGGGAUUAGAUACCCCAGUAGUC